GCCCUUAGAAGUAUUACAGGUGUGCCUACUGUGUCACACGUUUGUGAGUUGCUGAUAGAGAGGAAAGAGACUAUGUCUAUUCUCAGAGUUCUGACCUGUAGACAUCUGAAUAAUGAGUUGCCUAACAGU
Small nucleolar RNA from Mastomys coucha (southern multimammate mouse), 129 nucleotides. RefSeq annotates it as small nucleolar RNA SNORA17. The record is from RefSeq and is a predicted model, not a curated record. NCBI's taxonomy places the organism in Eukaryota, Metazoa, Chordata, Mammalia, Rodentia, Muridae. The transcript has a single exon.